RNAcentral lists this ribosomal RNA (480 nucleotides) under uncultured anaerobic ammonium-oxidizing bacterium. RNAcentral's name for it is "bacterial SSU rRNA". It matches the Rfam family "Bacterial small subunit ribosomal RNA", at positions 363 to 833 of the family's 1533-position model. The record is from RNAcentral.
UUUUCGCAAUGCCCGAAAGGGUGACGAAGCGACGCCGCGUGGGUGAGGAAGGCCUUCGGGUUGUAAAGCCCUGUCAGGAGUUAAGAAAUGUAGAUGCGCUAAUAUCGUAUUUGCUUGACGAAGGCUCCAAAGGAAGUCACGGCUAACUCUGUGCCAGCAGCCGCGGUAAUACAGAGGUGGCAAGCGUUGUUCGGAAUUAUUGGGCGUAAAGAGCACGUAGGUGGGUUUGUAAGUCAGAUGUGAAAGCCUUCUGUUCAACGGAAGAAUUGCAUCUGAAACUGCGAAUCUUGAGUAUAGGAGGGGAGAAUGGAACUUCUGGUGGAGCGGUGAAAUGCGUAGAUAUCAGAAGGAACGCCGGCGGCGAAAGCGAUUCUCUGGCCUAUUACUGACACUCAGUGUGCGAAAGCUAGGGGAGCAAACGGGAUUAGAUACCCCGGUAGUCCUAGCCGUAAACGAUGGGCACUAAGUAGAGGGGUUUUA